CGCCUUUUAUUUCAAAUCGCGCGCGUUUCCCACGAAGUAUCCUGCGAACGGGUUGUCAGGUUCAAAAGGCGGUGCUUUUAUAUAAGCUAAUAAUUUUAUUUUAUUUAACAACUCUAUUGGUGCCAUAAAUUACUUUAAAAUAAUUAGUUCAAUAUCAAUUGGCCCAAAAGAGAAGGUGCGAACGAGGCUUUAUAGAAGUCCCAUGCAAGGCACCUCCCUUCUCUAAUAAGUAAUAACAGAUAUUUAUAAAUACAUAUAUG
Paramuricea clavata is the source of this 260-nucleotide non-coding RNA. The record is from the annotation of a GenBank genome assembly. Lineage: Eukaryota; Metazoa; Cnidaria; Anthozoa; Malacalcyonacea; Plexauridae.